This 381-nucleotide ribosomal RNA is filed under the name uncultured archaeon. RNAcentral's name for it is "bacterial SSU rRNA". It matches the Rfam family "Archaeal small subunit ribosomal RNA", at positions 471 to 851 of the family's 1478-position model. The record is from RNAcentral.
UAAUCCAGGAGCCACAAGUGGCAACCGCUUUUAUUGGGCCUAAAGCGUCCGUAGCAUGUUUAGUAAAUCUUCUGUGAAAUCAUUAGGCUUAACUUAAUGGCAUGCAGAAGAGACUGCUAAACUUGAGAUUGGGAGGAGUCAGAGGUAUUUUGGGGGGAGCGGUAAAAUGCUAUAAUCCCCGAAGGACCACCUAUGGCGAAGGCAUCUGACUAGAACAAAUCUGACUGUGAGGGACGAAAGCUAGGGGAGCAAUCCGGAUUAGAUACCCGAGUAGUCCUAGCUGUAAACGCUGCGAGCUAGGUGUUGCAUAACCUCUAUGGUUAUGCGGUGUCGAAGCGAAGGUGUUAAGCUCGCCGCCUGGGAAAUAUGGCCGCAAGACUG